RNAcentral lists this ribosomal RNA (502 nucleotides) under uncultured bacterium. RNAcentral describes it as "bacterial SSU rRNA". It matches the Rfam family "Bacterial small subunit ribosomal RNA", at positions 15 to 507 of the family's 1533-position model. The record is from RNAcentral.
GAUCAUGGCUCAGGAUGAACGCUAGCUACAGGCUUAACACAUGCAAGUCGAGGGGAAACGACAUCGAAAGCUUGCUUUUGAUGGGUGUCGACCGGCGCACGGGUGAGUAACGCGUAUCCAACCUGCCCACCACUUGGGGAUAACCUUGCGAAAGUAAGACUAAUACCCAAUGAUAUCCCACGAAGGCAUCCGAAUGGGAUUAAAGAUUUAUCGGUGAUGGAUGGGGAUGCGUCUGAUUAGCUUGUUGGCGGGUAACGGCCCACCAAGGCUACGAUCAGUAGGGGUUCUGAGAGGAAGGUCCCCCACAUUGGAACUGAGACACGGUCCAAACUCCUACGGGAGGCAGCAGUGAGGAAUAUUGGUCAAUGGGCGAGAGCCUGAACCAGCCAAGUAGCGUGCAGGAUGACGGCCCUAUGGGUUGUAAACUGCUUUAUAAGGGAAUAAAGUGAGUCUCGUGAGACUUUUGCAUGUACCUUAUGAAUAAGGACCGGCUAAUUCCGUG